GAGUUUGAUCAUGGCUCAGAGCGAACGCUGGCGGCAGGCUUAACACAUGCAAGUCGAGCGGGCGUAGCAAUACGUCAGCGGCAGACGGGUGAGUAACGCGUGGGAACGUACCUUUUGGUUCGGAACAACACAGGGAAACUUGUGCUAAUACCGGAUAAGCCCUUACGGGGAAAGAUUUAUCGCCGAAAGAUCGGCCCGCGUCUGAUUAGCUAGUUGGUGAGGUAAUGGCUCACCAAGGCGACGAUCAGUAGCUGGUCUGAGAGGAUGAUCAGCCACAUUGGGACUGAGACACGGCCCAAACUCCUACGGGAGGCAGCAGUGGGGAAUAUUGGACAAUGGGCGCAAGCCUGAUCCAGCCAUGCCGCGUGAGUGAUGAAGGCCCUAGGGUUGUAAAGCUCUUUUGUGCGGGAAGAUAAUGACGGUACCGCAAGAAUAAGCCCCGGCUAACUUCGUGCCAGCAGCCGCGGUAAUACG
RNAcentral lists this ribosomal RNA (474 nucleotides) under uncultured eubacterium WR110. RNAcentral describes it as "bacterial SSU rRNA". It matches the Rfam family "Bacterial small subunit ribosomal RNA", at positions 9 to 527 of the family's 1533-position model. RNAcentral also lists the same sequence under 1 other name. The record is from RNAcentral.